GACAAGAAAUAACAAUACAGGACUUUUUGGUUUUGUAAUUGGAAUGAGUUAAGUAUAAACCCCUUUACAAGUAUCAAUUGGAGGGCAAGUCUGGUGCCAGCAGCCGCGGUAAUUCCAGCUCCAAUAGCGUAUAUUAAAGUUGUUGCAGUUAAAAAGCUCGUAGUUGGAUUUCUGUUAAUAAUUUAUAUAAAAUAUUUUGAUGAAUAUUUAUAUAAUAUUAACAUAAUUCAUAUUACUAUUUUUUUUUUUAGUAUAUGAAAUUUUACUUUGAGAAAAUUAGAGUGCUUAAAGCAGG
RNAcentral lists this ribosomal RNA (295 nucleotides) under Cryptosporidium hominis. Its description in RNAcentral is "partial 18S ribosomal RNA". It matches the Rfam family "Eukaryotic small subunit ribosomal RNA", at positions 469 to 784 of the family's 1831-position model. The record is from RNAcentral. Lineage: Eukaryota; Apicomplexa; Conoidasida; Eucoccidiorida; Cryptosporidiidae.